UGCAUGGAGCUGCCAUUGGUACAGAUCUUGGUGGAGAGUAGCAAAUAAUCGAAUGAGAUCUUGGAGGACUGAAGUGGAGAAGGGUUUCGUGUGAACAGUGGUUGAUCACGAGUUAGUCGGUCCUAAGUUUAAGGCGAAAGCCGCAAAAAUUUAAAGUUUUACACUCUUUUUGAUAAUAUAAAAUACUUUAAAUUAAAUUAAACGAAAGGGAAUACGGUUCCAAUUCCGUAACCUGUUGAGUAUACGUUUGUAAUAAAUAUGAUCUUAUGAUCAUCCUGGUAACAGAAACAAUCAUAGAGAAGCCGUCGAGAGGUAUUGGAAGAGUUUUCUUUUCUGUUUUAUAGUUGUACUACCAUGGAAGUCUUUCGAAGAGAGAUAUGGUAGAUGAGCUAGAAGAGCAUGGCAUUUACUGCUGUGUCAAUAUUUUCUCCUCGGACCUUGAAAAUCUAUGAUUGGGCCACGCAAACUUCUCAACAGGCCGUACCGAUAUCCGCAGCUGGUCUCCAAGGUGAAGAGUCUCUAGUCGAUAGAAUAAUGUAGGUAAGGGAAGUCGGC
Molecule: ribosomal RNA, 555 nt
Filed under: Chaetogonopteron chaeturum
Lineage: Eukaryota; Metazoa; Arthropoda; Insecta; Diptera; Dolichopodidae
Description: eukaryotic LSU rRNA
Rfam family: Eukaryotic large subunit ribosomal RNA
Source: RNAcentral